This 70-nucleotide transfer RNA is filed under the name Ampulex compressa. RNAcentral's name for it is "tRNA-Tyr". The record is from RNAcentral. Lineage: Eukaryota; Metazoa; Arthropoda; Insecta; Hymenoptera; Ampulicidae.
UAGUAUUAUGACUGAUAAAAGUUAUAAAUUGUAAAUUUAUAUAUGAAAUUUAUUAAAUUUCUAAUACUAU